This 451-nucleotide ribosomal RNA is filed under the name uncultured bacterium. Its description in RNAcentral is "partial 16S ribosomal RNA". It matches the Rfam family "Bacterial small subunit ribosomal RNA", at positions 354 to 796 of the family's 1533-position model. The record is from RNAcentral.
GUGGGGAAUAUUGGACAAUGGGGGGAACCCUGAUCCAGCCAUGCCGCGUGUGUGAAGAAGGCCUUUUGGUUGUAAAGCACUUUAAGCGAGGAGGAGGCUCUCUUGGUUAAUACCUGAGAAGAGUGGACGUUACUCGCAGAAUAAGCACCGGCUAACUCUGUGCCAGCAGCCGCGGUAAUACAGAGGGUGCGAGCGUUAAUCGGAUUUACUGGGCGUAAAGCGCGCGUAGGUGGCUAAUUAAGUCAAAUGUGAAAUCCCCGAGCUUAACUUGGGAAUUGCAUUCGAUACUGGUUGGCUAGAGUAUGGGAGAGGAUGGUAGAAUUCCAGGUGUAGCGGUGAAAUGCGUAGAGAUCUGGAGGAAUACCGAUGGCGAAGGCAGCCAUCUGGCCUAAUACUGACACUGAGGUGCGAAAGCAUGGGGAGCAAACAGGAUUAGAAACCCUUGUAGUCC